CCCUUAGACGUUCUGGGCCGCACGCGCGCUACACUGACCAGUGCAACAAGCAUCCGUCCUUGGCCGACAGGCUCGGGCAAUCUUUGAACGCUGGUCGUGAUGGGGAUAGAUCUUUGGAAUUAUUGAUCUUGAACGAGGAAUGCCUAGUAAUCGUAGGUCAUCAGCCUGCGAUGAUUACGUCCCUGCCCUUUGUACACACCGCCCGUCGCUCCUACCGAUUUCGAGUGGUUCGGUGAACCUUUCGGACCGGCAAUGCCUCGUGUUGCGCCGGAAAGUCAAGUAAACCAUAUCACUUAGAGGAAGGAGAAGUCGUAACA
This 317-nucleotide ribosomal RNA is filed under the name uncultured eukaryote. RNAcentral's name for it is "partial 18S ribosomal RNA". It matches the Rfam family "Eukaryotic small subunit ribosomal RNA", at positions 1470 to 1796 of the family's 1831-position model. The record is from RNAcentral.